AGAGAUGCACUGGGUGUAAAGCGUGCGCAGGCGGUUUUGUAAGACAGAGGUGAAAUCCCCGGGCUCAACCUGGGAACUGCCUUUGUGACUGCAAGGCUGGAGUGCGGCAGAGGGGGGAUGGAAUUCCGCGUGUAGCAGUGAAAUGCGUAGAUAUGCGGAGGAACACCGAUGGCGAAGGCAAUCCCCCUAGGCCUGCACUGACGCUCAUGCACGAAAGUGUGGGGGAGCAAACA
This 233-nucleotide ribosomal RNA is filed under the name uncultured Alicycliphilus sp. Its description in RNAcentral is "partial 16S ribosomal RNA". It matches the Rfam family "Bacterial small subunit ribosomal RNA", at positions 548 to 774 of the family's 1533-position model. Lineage: Bacteria; Pseudomonadati; Pseudomonadota; Betaproteobacteria; Burkholderiales; Comamonadaceae. The record is from RNAcentral.